UGCUCUGUGACCCCAGCACUUCACCUCCAAGUGCCUUAGGAUGGGGAAACUGAGGCACAGAUAGGGGAAUCUGAGGUCAACCAGCAGCAUGUGGCGUGGCAGAGGCAGCAGAUGGAUAGCAGCAGCCUGUUUUGAUGUUUGUAAUUCAGAAAGGACACACAGCAAGCUCGGCAAACAAACAGAAAGAGAAAAUAGGGAGUUGGGGUGGAAAUCAUAGCGGUGAUUGCAUUAAUGGCAUGUCAAGGGAGCUGGAGUUCAAGU
Mauremys mutica (yellowpond turtle) is the source of this 261-nucleotide long non-coding RNA. RefSeq lists it as uncharacterized. The transcript is spliced from 3 exons. Lineage: Eukaryota; Metazoa; Chordata; Testudines; Geoemydidae. The record is from RefSeq and is a predicted model, not a curated record.